AGGGUUUGAUCAUGGCUCAGGAUGAACGCUGGCGGCGUGCCUAACACAUGCAAGUCGAACGGAGUUUAUGAGGAAGAAGCUUCGGCGGAAUUCUUAUAAACUUAGUGGCGGACGGGUGAGUAACACGUGGAGAACCUGCCUCUUACCGGGGGACAGCAGUUGGAAACGACUGAUAAUACCGCAUAAGCGCACGAGACCGCAUGGUCCUGUGUGAAAAGAUUUAUCGGUAAGAGAUGGCUCCGCGUCUGAUUAGCCAGUUGGCGGGGUAACGGCCCACCAAAGCGACGAUCAGUAGCCGGCCUGAGAGGGUGAACGGCCACAUUGGGACUGAGACACGGCCCAG
RNAcentral lists this ribosomal RNA (343 nucleotides) under uncultured bacterium. Its description in RNAcentral is "bacterial SSU rRNA". It matches the Rfam family "Bacterial small subunit ribosomal RNA", at positions 8 to 334 of the family's 1533-position model. The record is from RNAcentral.